GACGAACGCUGGCGGCGUGCUUAACACAUGCAAGUCGAACGGAAAGGCCCUGCUUUUGUGGGUUGCUCGAGUGGCGAACGGGUGAGUAACACGUGAGUAACCUGCCCUUGACUUUGGGAUAACUUCAGGAAACUGGGGCUAAUACCGGAUAGGAUCUCCUGCUGCAUGGUGGUGGUUGGAAAGUUUCGGCGGUUGGGGAUGGACUCGCGGCUUAUCAGCUUGUUGGUGGGGUAGUGGCUUACCAAGGCUUUGACGGGUAGCCGGCCUGGGAGGGUGACCGGCCACAUUGGGACUGAGAUACGGACCAGCAUCCUACGGGAGGCAGCAGUGGGGAAUAUUGCACAAUGGGCGGAAGCCUGAUGCAGAAACGCCGCGUGCGGGAUGACGGCCUUCGGGUUGUAAACAGCUUUCGCCUGUGACGAAGCGUGAGUGACGGUAAUGGGUAAAGAAGCACCGGCUAACUACGUG
RNAcentral lists this ribosomal RNA (468 nucleotides) under uncultured bacterium. RNAcentral's name for it is "partial 16S ribosomal RNA". It matches the Rfam family "Bacterial small subunit ribosomal RNA", at positions 28 to 507 of the family's 1533-position model. The record is from RNAcentral.